RNAcentral lists this ribosomal RNA (375 nucleotides) under uncultured eukaryote. Its description in RNAcentral is "partial 18S ribosomal RNA". It matches the Rfam family "Eukaryotic small subunit ribosomal RNA", at positions 592 to 976 of the family's 1831-position model. The record is from RNAcentral.
CAAUAGCGUAUAUUUAAGUUGUUGCAGUUAAAAAGCUCGUAGUUGGAUUUCGGUUAAGAGCGACCGGUCCGCCGUUUGGUGUGCACUGGUUGGUUUUAACUUCCUGUAGAGGACGUGCUCUGGGUUUAACGACCUGGACUCGGAAUCUACGUGGUUACUUUGAAAAAAUUAGAGUGUUCAAAGCGGGCUUACGCUUGAAUAUUUCAGCAUGGAAUAACACUAUAGGACUCCUGUCCUAUUUCGUUGGUCUCGGGACGGGAGUAAUGAUUAAGAGGAACAGUUGGGGGCAUUCGUAUUUCAUUGUCAGAGGUGAAAUUCUUGGAUUUAUGAAAGACGAACUUCUGCGAAAGCAUUUGCCAAGGAUGUUUUCAUUAA